UACGUAGGGGGCUAGCGUUGUCCGGAAUCACUGGGCGUAAAGCGCGUGUAGGCGGUCCGGUAAGUCCGUUGUGAAAUUCGGGGGCUCAACCCUCGGAUGCCGGUGGAUACUGUCGGGCUUGAGUACGGAAGAGGCGAGUGGAAUUCCUGGUGUAGCGGUGAAAUGCGCAGAUAUCAGGAGGAACACCAAAUGCGAAGGCAGCUCGCUGGGACGUUACUGACGCUGAGACGCGAAAGCGUGGGGAGCAAACAGG
RNAcentral lists this ribosomal RNA (253 nucleotides) under uncultured bacterium. RNAcentral describes it as "partial 16S ribosomal RNA". It matches the Rfam family "Bacterial small subunit ribosomal RNA", at positions 524 to 776 of the family's 1533-position model. The record is from RNAcentral.